Molecule: long non-coding RNA, 341 nt
Organism: Rhineura floridana
Lineage: Eukaryota; Metazoa; Chordata; Lepidosauria; Squamata; Rhineuridae
Exons: 3
Source: RefSeq, a predicted model, not a curated record
CUUCCUUAGAUGCAGAUGUUGUCUUGUGUUUACUACAUUUAUCCAUCAGGUGUUGAGCAGAAAAAGACCUGCCCUUAUGCUGAGACCUUCAAAUGAGCCCAGCCUGCUUGCGACGCAGCCUGCUGAGAUUCAUCUUGUGAGAACCAGGAGGAAGGCCUUUUCCACAGCAUUGCCCACUUUGUGGAAUCACCCCCACUCCAAAAAAAGAGAAAUAGUUUUUUUCCUGUAGGUUCUGCUCCCAGGAAGUAUACCUCCCCUGUUAUAUCAUCUUCUUUCAUCAUACACAGAAGAGAAUGUAUAUGUGAAUUCCAGAAGUGCACUAUGGAGGUGUCUGAUUGCCC